RNAcentral lists this ribosomal RNA (517 nucleotides) under Bacillus amyloliquefaciens. RNAcentral's name for it is "bacterial SSU rRNA". It matches the Rfam family "Bacterial small subunit ribosomal RNA", at positions 290 to 799 of the family's 1533-position model. Lineage: Bacteria; Bacillati; Bacillota; Bacilli; Caryophanales; Bacillaceae. The record is from RNAcentral.
ACCUGAGAGGGUGAUCGGCCACACUGGGACUGAGACUCGGCCCAGACUCCUACGGGAGGCAGCAGUAGGGAAUCUUCCGCAAUGGACGAAAGUCUGACGGAGCAACGCCGCGUGAGUGAUGAAGGUUUUCGGAUCGUAAAGCUCUGUUGUUAGGGAAGAACAAGUGCCGUUCAAAUAGGGCGGCACCUUGACGGUACCUAACCAGAAAGCCACGGCUAACUACGUCCAGCAGCCGCGGUAAUACGUAGGUGGCAAGCGUUGUCCGGAAUUAUUGGGCGUAAAGGGCUCGCAGGCGGUUUCUUAAGUCUGAUGUGAAAGCCCCCGGCUCAACCGGGGAGGGUCAUUGGAAACUGGGGAACUUGAGUGCAGAAGAGGAGAGUGGAAUUCCACGUGUAGCGGUGAAAUGCGUAGAGAUGUGGAGGAACACCAGUGCCGAAGGCGACUCUCUGGUCUGUAACUGUCGCUGAGGAUCGAAAGCGUGGGGAGCGACCAGGAUUAGAUACCCUGGUAGUCCACC